RNAcentral lists this transfer RNA (67 nucleotides) under Lucinella divaricata. RNAcentral's name for it is "tRNA-Phe". The record is from RNAcentral. Lineage: Eukaryota; Metazoa; Mollusca; Bivalvia; Lucinida; Lucinidae.
UUGUGAUAGUCUAAUUAGGAUGCGGGUUUGAAGAGCCUGAGGUAAAACUUUAGGUUUUUUGCAACAA